GGCAUCGAGCAAAGACCAAGUGGAGGAAGGAGGAGAGGAUGUCGGAAAAGAUGCCCGGGGGUGGUCCCGUUGAGCGCUUUUUUAAGAACGAGGAUACUGCGAAGACACAGGGCCCUUCCUCUAGCGUCAAUCCUGUUGGUGCAAAAAUUCGCUUGCACCGGAGAAGCUGGAGUCGAGGGAGUCGCGGUCGUCGUCGGGA
Molecule: long non-coding RNA, 199 nt
Filed under: Elaeis guineensis (African oil palm)
Lineage: Eukaryota; Viridiplantae; Streptophyta; Magnoliopsida; Arecales; Arecaceae
Description: long non-coding RNA (EGUI_LNC033683)
Source: RNAcentral